RNAcentral lists this ribosomal RNA (490 nucleotides) under uncultured bacterium. Its description in RNAcentral is "partial 16S ribosomal RNA". It matches the Rfam family "Bacterial small subunit ribosomal RNA", at positions 29 to 505 of the family's 1533-position model. The record is from RNAcentral.
AGUGAACGCUGGCGGUAGGCCUAACACAUGCAAGUCGAACGGCAGCACAGUAAGAGCUUGCUCUUACGGGUGGCGAGUGGCGGACGGGUGAGGAAUACAUCGGAAUCUACUUUUUCGUGGGGGAUAACGUAGGGAAACUUACGCUAAUACCGCAUACGACCUACGGGUGAAAGCAGGGGAUCUUCGGACCUUGCGCGAUUGAAUGAGCCGAUGUCGGAUUAGCUAGUUGGCGGGGUAAAGGCCCACCAGGGCGACGAUCCGUAGCUGGUCUGAGAGGAUGAUCAGCCACACUGGAACUGAGACACGGUCCAGACUCCUACGGGAGGCAGCAGUGGGGAAUAUUGGACAAUGGGCGCAAGCCUGAUCCAGCCAUACCGCGUGGGUGAAGAAGGCCUUCGGGUUGUAAAGCCCUUUUGUUGGGAAAGAAAAGCAGCAGGUUAAUACCCCGCUGUUCUGACGGUACCCAAAGAAUAAGCACCGGCUAACUUCG